AAAUUGAAGAGUUUGAUCAUGGCUCAGAUUGAACGCUGGCGGCAGGCCUAACACAUGCAAGUCGAACGGUAACAGGAAACAGCUUGCUGU
RNAcentral lists this ribosomal RNA (90 nucleotides) under Escherichia coli. RNAcentral describes it as "partial 16S ribosomal RNA". It matches the Rfam family "Bacterial small subunit ribosomal RNA", at positions 1 to 86 of the family's 1533-position model. RNAcentral also lists the same sequence under 3 other names. Lineage: Bacteria; Pseudomonadati; Pseudomonadota; Gammaproteobacteria; Enterobacterales; Enterobacteriaceae. The record is from RNAcentral.